RNAcentral lists this small RNA (27 nucleotides) under Bombyx mori (domestic silkworm). RNAcentral's name for it is "ovarian small RNA-37143". The record is from RNAcentral. Lineage: Eukaryota; Metazoa; Arthropoda; Insecta; Lepidoptera; Bombycidae.
UUCCAUAGAAGAAUAGACUGAAUUGUG